RNAcentral lists this ribosomal RNA (497 nucleotides) under uncultured bacterium. RNAcentral's name for it is "partial 16S ribosomal RNA". It matches the Rfam family "Bacterial small subunit ribosomal RNA", at positions 28 to 507 of the family's 1533-position model. The record is from RNAcentral.
GAUGAACGCUGGCGGCGUGCCUAAUACAUGCAAGUCGAGCGAACGGACGAGAAGCUUGCUCCUCUGAUGUUAGCGGCGGACGGGUGAGUAACACGUGGAUAACCUACCUAUAAGACUGGGAUAACUUCGGGAAACCGUAGCUAAUACCGGAUAAUAUUUUGAACCGCAUGGUUCAAAAGUGAAAGACGGUCUUUCUGUCACUUAUAGAUGGAUCCGCGCUGCAUUAGCUAGUUGGUAAGGUAACGGCUUACCAAGGCAACGAUGCGUAGCCGACCUGAGAGGGUGAUCGGCCACACUGGAACUGAGACACGGUCCAGACUCCUACGGGAGGCAGCAGUAGGGAAUCUUGCGCAAUGGGCGAAAGCCUGACGGAGCAACGCCGCGUGAGUGAUGAAGGUCUUCGGAUCGUAAAACUCUGUUAUUAGGGAAGAACAUAUGUGUAAGUAACUGUGCACAUCUUGACGGUACCUAAUCAGAAAGCCACGGCUAACUACGUG